GAGGAAAGAGGGAGGAGGGAAGAAUACAGGAAAGUCGAGCGAACGGACGAGAAGCUUGCUUCUCUGAUGUUAGCGGCGGACGGGUGAGUAACACGUGGAUAAGAUACCUAUAAGACUGGGAUAACUUCGGGAAACCGGAGCUAAUACCGGAUGAUAUUUUGAACCGCAUGGUUCAAAAGUGAAAGACGGUCUUGCUGUCACUUAUAGAUUGAUCCGCGCUGCAUUAGCUAGUUGGUAAGGUAACGGCUUACCAAGGCAACGAUGCAUAGCCGACCUGAGAGGGUGAUCGGCCACACUGGAACUGAGACACGGUCCAGACUCCUACGGGAGGCAGCAGUAGGGAAUAUUAAGAAAUGGGAGAAAGAAUGAAGGAGAAAAGACGCGUGAGUGAUGAAGGUCUUCGGAUCGUAAAACUCUGUUAUUAGGGAAGAACAUAUGUGUAAGUAACUGUGAACAUAUUGAAGGUAAAUAAUAAGAAAGGACCGGAUAAAUAAGUC
This 497-nucleotide ribosomal RNA is filed under the name uncultured bacterium. RNAcentral's name for it is "partial 16S ribosomal RNA". It matches the Rfam family "Bacterial small subunit ribosomal RNA", at positions 38 to 507 of the family's 1533-position model. The record is from RNAcentral.